GUUCUGGUGGCGCAAUUGGAAGACGCAGCUGCCUCAAAAACAGUUUUCGAAAGAAUUGUGAGUUCGAGUCUCACCCAGAACAUCA
RNAcentral lists this transfer RNA (85 nucleotides) under Treponema bryantii. Its description in RNAcentral is "tRNA_Leu_CAA". It matches the Rfam family "tRNA". Rfam says of the family: Transfer RNA (tRNA) molecules are approximately 80 nucleotides in length. Their secondary structure includes four short double-helical elements and three loops (D, anti-codon, and T loops). Further hydrogen bonds mediate the characteristic L-shaped molecular structure. tRNAs have two regions of fundamental functional importance: the anti-codon, which is responsible for specific mRNA codon recognition, and the 3' end, to which the tRNAs corresponding amino acid is attached (by aminoacyl-tRNA synthetases). tRNAs cope with the degeneracy of the genetic code in two manners: having more than one tRNA (with a specific anti-codon) for a particular amino acid; and 'wobble' base-pairing, i.e. permitting non-standard base-pairing at the 3rd anti-codon position. Lineage: Bacteria; Pseudomonadati; Spirochaetota; Spirochaetia; Treponematales; Treponemataceae. The record is from RNAcentral.